AACCGGCUUGAUCUUUUGGUUUGAUUGGGAUCCGCCUGAUCCAGUGUGGCAUGGUGCUUCCUAUGAUGUUGUAGAGUGCCUCUGAAUGACUUAGAAGGUCUCCUGGUUGCCAUUCUUGAGGUUGGUUCGAUGUGAAACCCGGAUCUUCCAAAUAAGGCAAGUGUAGAGCUGGUUUGGCCGGUUUUGGGAAAUUGAUCAUAUCUUCCAAUUUCCUUGACCAUUUCUCGAGAUCUUGGGCUUUCUGGAAAGAUAAUAAACUCCUCUUGAUUCCUAUGAUCGGUUUUGGUUCAGGCCGCUUCUUCUUUGGGCUUGAAUCCUCUUCUAAAGUCGCAUACUCGCAGAUGGACGGGCUGAGAAACCUCUGAAUUGUAAAAUUCAUAACUUCUUGCUCCGUGAAUAUUUUGGGCAGAUUCCAAUUUUCCUGGACUCCCUCUUGAGUGUAGAAUCCAUAAAAAUUAUCCUCGUGAUUUAAACCCUCCUGGUUUGUAAGAUAUGGCAUUUUUAGUGCACGUAUGUCCUGGUUGGCGCCUUGGCUGGUUGAGUAGGGUGUUGGGUCGACCUCUGGUUGAGCUGCUGAAUUGCUGGCCGCAACAUUCCCUCCCCCUUGAAAAGGUUUCGACCUCGAAACUGUAUAACCUGCACCAAGAUAGAGCAAGUCAGCUUUCAUACUCUUUUGAGAUUCUAAGGUCUUACCUUGAUAUUGUUUUGGUUUGGUGAUGGAUUGUUCAUCAGGUGGCUCUUCUUUCAGCAAAUAGGAUAGGAUCACGCCUCUGCUAUGGACUUUUGCAUUGCUUCUCUUCUUCAGUGGAUGGUCCUUCAUACUCCUAGCAGGCUCAGCUCUGACCAUCUUUGGGUUUGAUCCUCCUAGCAACAAAAGAUUAUCCCGUGGGAUUUCUUCGAAGCUUUCUUCUUUGCAACCUGAAAUUUUUUUAACAUUCUGGACAAAGACCAAGUGAAUUAUAUCUGAUACUGGAAUUUCAUGAACAGAAUUUGUUAUGGUCGAAUUUACCUUGGGUGCAUCAGCAUGAUGAAGAAUGAUAUUCUUCUUUGGACAGAUUUGGUUAGAUGGCUGCCUUUCUUGCAAAUGUUUACCUUGGUUGGUAUAACCAUCUUCUUGUGAUAGCUCAGCUCGGUUUUUAUGUUCUUCUUGACUUAUCCCUGGAUCAAAACAUCUUGGCAAAGACAAGUGUAUUAUACCAAAGUAUAGGGAUUUAUAAACUGAAGAAAACAUAGAACAAUUAACCUUAAUGUCAAAUGUGGCAGUAAGAACUUCUUGUUCUUUGUUUGCCUUGUAGUAACCUUGCUUUCCUGUACCAAUUUCACUUUUCCUUGGACAAGACAAGUGCAUUAAUCUUGUCAUAGAAUCAAUAAAAACAUUCUGGUUUAAAGUGAAUUUUACCUCAGAUUUUGGCACUUGAACAGUACAUUGUUCAGAUUUCGGUUUCCACUUAUGGUGUGGAUUUUGAUUGAGCUCAUGAUCUGGUUCGGCACUUGGAACUCCAGUAAGCAUAUGGCUCUCAUCUGGUAUCCCUGUACCAAGAAUAUAAAUGUUUAAACCAGUAUCUAAAGGUGGUGUUAGACACUUACCUUGGUUUGAUACUUGGAUCACUGGUUUUGGUUUAUUAAGCAACUUUGAUUGCUUUGUGCUUUGAGCUUCCUUCUGGUCCAUUGGAAGGUUUGUGCCUGGCGCCUCUUCUUCUAUGUACCUAGGCUCAUUUAGACCUGUAAUAACACUCUUGGACAAAGACAAGUGCAUCAUACAAGUGGUAGAUGAUUUAUGAAAAGAUUUAUCAUGUAUAGGACUUACCUUAGCCUUUACUUGGACAAUAACUUGCUCUGGUUUGUCUUUGGACCUGAUCAAAGUGUUUUGGCCGACACUUGUACUCAUCUUCCUGACCUUUGGGAUGUCACUCUCCUGCUCUAAGCAGUGGACAAUGGCGUGCCCCUGGUUUGGCUGAAAGUUGGCUUCUUUAGGCAAGACUCUUUGAACUUCUUGUUCCACAAUUUUCCUUGCUUCUUUGGAACCAUGAGUUGGAUAUCUCCUUGGAUAUAGUUCCUGGAUUUCAGACCUUGUAUAAUCUGGUGCAAAUCUAUCCCUCAUGACUUCCUUAAGAGCUCUCCACGUUUUGAUAGCUGGAUCCUUGUAAAACCAUCUAUCAUCCUCUUCUUGUACCCACCAUUUAAAAGCAUCAUCUUUUAGUUGAUCAAUGGCAUAAGCUAGCCUCUCUUUCCUCAGGAUGUUGUUGUAGUGAAACCAUUCAUCAAGGUUCCUCUCCCAUCUUAGAUAACCUCUUUUUCCUGAAAAUUUAAAGAGUUCAACUUUAUCAGCAAAAGAGUUAUAAUCAAACCGAGAAUUAACAACAUAAGGGUUGUGGGUUUUAGAAGUUGGAGUUUGAUUGAUCCUUGAAGGAUCUGGUGGCUUGGGCUCGACGUAUACUGGCCCUGGUACAUUUCCAAAUCUCCUUUCUCCUUCAUGUGGACGUUGGCCUUGUGCCUGAUUUAUUUUCUCCAAUUGAGCAAUCUUAAUUUGGAGCUUUUGUAGAGCUGCGGACUGUUGGCUCAAGGUGGCCCUUAGGUUUUGGCCGUGUCUCUCCACCUCCAUUGCUUCCUGAAAACAAUCUCAAAGAAAAAGUGAAGGUAUGGAAAGUUUUGGUCUAACCAAAAUAAAACAAAUGCAAUUUAACUAAACCGAGAAAAUAUGCAAUUAUGAACCGAAAUGAAGUAACUAUACUAAAAUGAUUUUUCUUUUGGUUUUCUGAAUGAAAUUUCGAAAUUAAACAAUAUGGUAUGAAAAGAAACAAAAAUGGUAUGACUUUUUAUUUAUUUUUUUUUAAGCAAGAAACAACUAUGAAAAUGCAGAUCUUUUUUUUUUUUUUUUGAAAUGAAUGCACAAAAUCAAAAAAUGGAAAGUGGAGCUGGGGAAUGAAUGCAAACACGUUUUUCUUUUCUUUUUAUGGAUGAAAUGAAUCAAACCAGACAACAGGUCGUCUCCUAUCUCAACUUUUUAUGGCUUUUCAAUUUAUGAUGAACAAAGAACACAAAAAUGCAAAAACAGUUUUUUUUUUUUUUUUGAUUUAUAAAUGGAAAAGCAAAUGCAAACAAGAUGAAUGAUGCAAGGAUAGAAUGGACCUGAUUCAGGAGCUUAAGCUCUGAUACCAAAUGUUGUAGGCUGAGAUUCAGGGUGGGCAAGAUGGAUGAUGGAAGCUUGGAUGGGUCGACCAAAGAGAUGAUCGGAUGGGCGAUAUGAUGGAAUGCAAGUUAUGAACCUGAAAACAAAUGCAAAAUCAAAUGAGAUAUGAUUUCUAAUAUGAUAAAACAAGAUAAAUAAAGAUAGAUAGGAUGGAAUCAAGCUGCUGGUUGUGUAACACUCUCAGCUUGAUCAAAAGAUGAUUGAAGUGGAUUGAGAUGGUGCUUUGCUUGCUGGACUGAUGUCUCUCUCAAGCUUGGCAAACGAAUUGGAGUGGAAGGAUGGGGGAUUGAGGACGCCACAAGACUCUAUGGAAAGGAGCCUUGAUAAGUCAAGGUGCUUUGGAGCUGCUUCACACAAACUCAAAAGACUUAGAACAAUAGUUUUAAGAAAACUAGAAAACUGAAUAAUUCUUAUUACUUUCAAAAAUGGGUGAUUUACAAUGAAACAAAGACUAGAGCUUUAUAGGCUCGACCAAGGACUCUCUAACAGUCAUAAAAUGACAUAAGGAAAGAAAUAAAAAUCGAAAUAAUAAACUUGGAAGCAAAGGAAUUGAUGGCUCCUUGAAAACUAGCCGUUGGAGGCUUAAUGAUGAGAAUCUUGUGAAGACUUGUAUCUUGAUAGCUUCUGGACGUGGCCAUGAUCUUCAAGCCUUCCUGAAAUACUCCUUGGCCUCAGUAAAAGAGAAUAUGGCCGUUGGUCUUGGGCAAAAAUCUGUAGAAACUUCUCCAAAGCAUUUAGUGUAGAUGUUGCCAAAUAUGGAAGGUUGAUGGGAAGAGAGAUCCGCCUGAUCUCCUGGGUGCUGGUCCAGCUGAGGACGUCUUGGAUGUCUUCUGAAUGGUCUAGAGUAUCUCCUGGUUCCCAUAGAUAGCCCUGGGUCGAACCAAGUUGAAUUGGUUGAAGACUUUCCUUAAAUGAUGUCGGUUUGGCCAAUUGAUGCAAACCGGCUUGAUCUUUUGGUUUGAUUGGGAUCCGCCUGAUCCAGUGUGGCAUGGUGCUUCCUAUGAUGUUGUAGAGUGCCUCUGAAUGACUUAGAAGGUCUCCUGGUUGCCAUUCUUGAGGUUGGUUCAAUGUGAAACCCGGAUCUUCCAAAUAAGGCAAGUGUAGAGCUGGUUUGGCCGGUUUUGGGAAAUUGAUCAUAUCUUCCAAUUUCCUUGACCAUUUCUCGAGAUCUUGGGCUUU
This 4369-nucleotide long non-coding RNA is filed under the name Brassica rapa (field mustard). RNAcentral's name for it is "long non-coding RNA (BRAP_LNC008840)". Lineage: Eukaryota; Viridiplantae; Streptophyta; Magnoliopsida; Brassicales; Brassicaceae. The record is from RNAcentral.